UGACUGAGUGGCGGACGGGUGAGUAACGCGUGGGCAACCUGCCCCUACCGGGGGAUAACAGCCGGAAACGGCUGCUAAUACCGCAUAUGCUUUGCGGGCCGCAUGGCCCGCAAAGCAAAACUCCGGUGGUACGGGAUGGGCCCGCGUCUGAUUAGCUGGUUGGCGGGGUAACGGCCCACCAAGGCGACGAUCAGUAGCCGGCCUGAGAGGGCGGCCGGCCACAUUGGGACUGAGACACGGCCCAGACUCCUACGGAAGGCAGCAG
This 265-nucleotide ribosomal RNA is filed under the name uncultured bacterium. RNAcentral's name for it is "partial 16S ribosomal RNA". It matches the Rfam family "Bacterial small subunit ribosomal RNA", at positions 88 to 354 of the family's 1533-position model. The record is from RNAcentral.